Molecule: microRNA precursor, 102 nt
Filed under: Marmota monax (woodchuck)
Lineage: Eukaryota; Metazoa; Chordata; Mammalia; Rodentia; Sciuridae
Source: RNAcentral
AGUAUAAUUGCUGGGUCAAAUGAUAACUCUAUUUAACCUCUUGAGGAAUUGCCACACUAUUUUCCCAAAGUAGGUGCAUCAUUUUACAUUCUUAGCAACAGU